CAUCAAAAAACAAUUCCAAAUCAUCAAAAAAAAAAUAUAUCCCGGAUUCUAGAUUGCUGAUUCUAGUCAAAUGUAACUGCAAGCAGAAAAUUGUAGCUAAGGUUCCUGCCAGAUCGAAUAAACCACUGCCAACUAAGAGUUCACCUGGUCCAGCAUUAAAGAAGAAAGAAGAAUCAACUGACAGUUCAGAAAGCAAUUCAGAAGAUGAGGUAGGUGGAAUGCUUUUGAACUAUAAAUGCAUGGAAUUUUCUGAUAAUAAUCUAGCAUCUGGAAUGGUGCACAUGGUGGUAUUUGUUUUAAGUUGGUUGCCCCAUUGAUGUAAAUUUCUUGAAACAGGAAACUGCUAAAGCUGCUUUUUGAGCAUGUUUGUGCGACAUCCAACCUAGUUGAUCCAUUAGUCAUUUUUCACCUAGUGAGUUACUUCCAACUAAGCUUGUUUGUGCGACAUCCAACCUUCCAAUAGGUUGGGUCCACCAUAAGGAUAGUCUUGCAUAAAAAUCAGUCCCAUCUACUCAUUAGGUGGGUCAGACUAGCAACAAUGUUUAUUCAUUAAUAAAUAACAAAAUAUAAUUAUUUAUUUAUUUUCAAGGAUAUAAGCCACAAUAGCUUUGCUAAUUGGCUCCCACCACAGGUGGGGAAUUUGUCAAGUCUGCAACAACUGGAUAUAAGCUUCAAUAAUUUCAUUGGUUCGCUCCCACCUCAACUGGGGAAUUUAGAAAGUCUACAACAACUGAAAAUAAGCUGCAAUAACUUCAAUAAUUCACUCCCACUUGAACUGGGGAAGUUGGCGAGUCUGUAACUACUGUAACUUCUGUUUUUCUUUCUU
Magnolia sinica is the source of this 826-nucleotide long non-coding RNA. RefSeq lists it as uncharacterized. The record is from RefSeq and is a predicted model, not a curated record. The transcript has 3 exons. NCBI's taxonomy places the organism in Eukaryota, Viridiplantae, Streptophyta, Magnoliopsida, Magnoliales, Magnoliaceae.